GCUUAGCCCUAAACCUCAGUAGUUAAACCAACAAAACUACUCGCCAGAAUACUACAAGCAACCGCUUGAAACUCAAAGGACUUGGCGGUGCUUCACACCCCCC
This 103-nucleotide ribosomal RNA is filed under the name Chlorocebus pygerythrus (vervet). Its description in RNAcentral is "partial 12S ribosomal RNA". Lineage: Eukaryota; Metazoa; Chordata; Mammalia; Primates; Cercopithecidae. The record is from RNAcentral.